CGUGAGUGAUGAAGGCCCUAGGGUUGUAAAGCUCUUUCACCGGUGNNGNUNAUGACGGUAACCGGAGAAGAAGCCCCGGCUAACUUCGUGCCAGCAGCCGCGGUAAUACGAAGGGGGCUAGCGUUGUUCGGAUUUACUGGGCGUAAAGCGCACGUAGGCGGGCUAAUAAGUCAGGGGUGAAAUCCCGGGGCUCAACCCCGGAACUGCCUUUGAUACUGUUAGUCUUGAGUAUGGUAGAGGUGAGUGGAAUUCCGAGUGUAGAGGUGAAAUUCGUAGAUAUUCGGAGGAACACCAGUGGCGAAGGCGGCUCACUGGACCAUUACUGACGCUGAGGUGCGAAAGCGU
Molecule: ribosomal RNA, 345 nt
Filed under: Brucella intermedia
Lineage: Bacteria; Pseudomonadati; Pseudomonadota; Alphaproteobacteria; Hyphomicrobiales; Brucellaceae
Description: bacterial SSU rRNA
Rfam family: Bacterial small subunit ribosomal RNA
Source: RNAcentral